CCUACGGGUGGCAGCAGUGGGGAAUAUUGCGCAAUGGGCGAAAGCCUGACGCAGCGACGCCGCGUGAGGGAUGAAGGUCUUCGGAUCGUAAACCUCUGUCAGCAGGGAAGAACGGUCACUGUGCUAAUCAGCAGUGAAUUGACGGUACCUGCAAAGGAAGCACCGGCUAACUCCGUGCCAGCAGCCGCGGUAAUACGGAGGGUGCGAGCGUUAAUCGGAAUUACUGGGCGUAAAGCGCUCGUAGGCGGUAUGUCAAGUCAAGGGUGAAAUCCCCGCGCUCAACGUGGGAACUGCCUUUGAAACGGGCAAACUGGAGUGUGUGAGAGGAUAGUGGAAUUCCAGGUGUAGGAGUGAAAUGCGUAGAGAUCUGGAGGAACAUCAGUGGCGAAGGCGACUAUCUGGCACAUAACUGACGCUGAGGAGCGAAAGCGUGGGUAGCAAACAGGAUUAGAUACCCGGGUAGUC
Molecule: ribosomal RNA, 465 nt
Filed under: uncultured bacterium
Lineage: Bacteria
Description: partial 16S ribosomal RNA
Rfam family: Bacterial small subunit ribosomal RNA
Source: RNAcentral